UAUCAGUUGUGAGUCGGCUUCGAGAUGGACUUAACACUGUCUUCAUGUGAGAAAAAAUCUGUUCGCACAUAUAUGUGGAUCCAAAUGCAGAGAUUAAUGCAAAGGCCACCUUUUUUAAACAUACAAAUUUUUCUGGUAAACUCUCCCAACAAGCCACAAUGGAUGCUGCUUGGUCAGUAAACAAAUUGGUCCACACCGGA
This is a long non-coding RNA of Bufo bufo (common toad), 200 nucleotides long. RefSeq lists it as uncharacterized. NCBI's taxonomy places the organism in Eukaryota, Metazoa, Chordata, Amphibia, Anura, Bufonidae. The transcript has 3 exons. The record is from RefSeq and is a predicted model, not a curated record.